UGGGGAAUAUUGGACAAUGGGCGCAAGCCUGAUCCAGCCAUGCCGCGUGAGUGAUGAAGGCCUUAGGGUUGUAAAGCUCUUUCACCGAUGAAGAUAAUGACGGUAGUCGGAGAAGAAGCCCCGGCUAACUUCGUGCCAGCAGCCGCGGUAAUACGAAGGGGGCUAGCGUUGUUCGGAAUUACUGGGCGUAAAGCGCACGUAGGCGGAUAUUUAAGUCAGGGGUGAAAUCCCAGAGCUCAACUCUGGAACUGCCUUUGAUACUGGGUAUCUUGAGUAUGGAAGAGGUAAGUGGAAUUCCGAGUGUAGAGGUGAAAUUCGUAGAUAUUCGGAGGAACACCAGUGGCGAAGGCGGCUUACUGGUCCAUUACUGACGCUGAGGUGCGAAAGCGUGGGGAGCAAACA
This 402-nucleotide ribosomal RNA is filed under the name uncultured bacterium. Its description in RNAcentral is "bacterial SSU rRNA". It matches the Rfam family "Bacterial small subunit ribosomal RNA", at positions 355 to 774 of the family's 1533-position model. The record is from RNAcentral.